Molecule: long non-coding RNA, 1620 nt
Organism: Gallus gallus (chicken)
Lineage: Eukaryota; Metazoa; Chordata; Aves; Galliformes; Phasianidae
Source: Ensembl
UUUGAGUCUUUAAGAACAUUUUGGAUUAAAGAACAAACACAAUUAGGAUUACUUGGCAAUUACACUGGAGUAAUCAGCCAAUGAUCCUGCACAGCGAUAUGCAACUUCUAUCACUUCUGCCCAAAGGAGGGCAUUGUAUUGAAUGCCAGUGACCCAACGAGUGGCUGCUAUCAGCAGGCAGCCAUCUGUCAACCCUCCUCCUCUGAAAUCUGUGGACGAAACCUUGGCCCCUCACCCCACCAGGCAUUCCUGUGGAGGGGGGCAUCCAUGGGGACUCUCUGCCCAGCCACAAGCUGGGGCCGUACCAUCUCCUGGCUUCUCCUUCCUGCUCCUCCAGACGGUGCCAACCAACUGCACUAACCACACAUUCUGAUAUGACAGAUUAAACACUAAGAAUGAGGAAAUCAAACAGCACACAAAAUCCACAAGGCAAGCUCGCUGGACAAAUAUUUCCAAUUAACUUUGCAGUUGGGCCAAGCUGAGUCUGAAGCUGGCUCUGUAAUCAGAAACCUCUCAGUCAGCCGGGCGGGUUUCAUGUGGUUGGGCUGUGCUGUGUUCAGUCUGGCAGCAGAGAAGCUAGUCCUGGGGAAAGGAUAUAGUGGGAGGAUCAUAAAACUGGUGCGUGUGUGCUCUUUAAGGCAGGCAGUUGCUUAUUUUGGUUGCUGUUUAAGCAGGCAAGUUAAGGGGUUUCAGGUGCAAAGUUUCAUGGGCACUUCUGGAAACCCAGGGACCCAGGAGCUAUGCCACAGAGCAAUGCCCUAGUUAUUUCCAGCUCUGAAAAGAUGUUUUGCCUUAGCCCAGCCUUUCUGGGAAAGCAAACCUGGGACACCACAUUCAUUCAGCAUGGACAACACAGGCACGUAACUGUCUGCAUGACUUGUAACUAGUACUGAAGAUCUGUCUGUCAGAAGUACUCCUGAAUGCGAGUCGAACACAUACAAUGCUUAAACCACCAUCAGAUCCCUGUCUUGCCAGACCCUCAGUAACAGCAGCUUUAAAGCUUUGGCUAGCACUAAAACAAUUUCUGUAAAAUACACCACAGAUAGCUUCUAAUUUGAAAAUAUUAGCAUGAAUAACAAUGUGUUUGAUAUGCAUUCAAGCAGUUAUGCUCUUGGUUAAAAAAAAAUUAAUAAAUGUUUGAGAGAAUCUGUCUAGUGAGGGGACUGAUGUACAUUUGUGGUGCCCUUUCUUGGCUGUUUAAACUUAAAAUAGAAAAUUAGAUCAACUAGGUUUUCCAUUUUAACUUUCUGGUUAUCCUUUGAUGCUAAGUUGCUAAUUACAUACAGGUGGUGUAAUAGUCAAGUGAUGAAAAUUUGUGGCACAGAAUACUUACAGUCUUGCAUAGACCCGAGUUAGCAAUGCUCUACCAGAUUUACAAAGCAAAGCCACAAAUUUAACAAUGAAAUCCUGCUUGCAAGGAACCAGCACAAACUCCCAUCACCCAGCAGCACCUCUUGUGCACCUCAGAUCAGACUCUGAUGGAACUGAUGUGUAGUCACCAUUCAUUUAGGUCACCUUAUGUACCGGGUUUUCAGCUUUAAAAUCUUCCUUUUAAAACAUGGAUUCAAGUACCUUAACAUGUACCUGGAAAUGCUGGAGGAAUAAACUCCCUGGCAAUAC